This 253-nucleotide ribosomal RNA is filed under the name uncultured bacterium. RNAcentral's name for it is "partial 16S ribosomal RNA". It matches the Rfam family "Bacterial small subunit ribosomal RNA", at positions 524 to 776 of the family's 1533-position model. The record is from RNAcentral.
UACAGAGGUCCCAAGCGUUGGUCGGAUUCACUGGGCGUAAAGGGUGCGUAGGUGGUGAGGUAAGUCGGAUGUGAAAGCUCGGAGCUCAACUCCGAAAUGGCAUUGGAAACUACCUUGCUCGAGGGUUGGAGGGGGGACUGGAAUACUUGGUGUAGCAGUGAAAUGCGUAGAUAUCAAGUGGAACACCAGUGGCGAAGGCGAGUCCCUGGACAACUCCUGACACUGAGGCACGAAAGCUAGGGGAGCAAACAGG